Molecule: ribosomal RNA, 483 nt
Filed under: Narcine brunnea (brown numbfish)
Lineage: Eukaryota; Metazoa; Chordata; Chondrichthyes; Torpediniformes; Narcinidae
Description: partial large subunit ribosomal RNA
Rfam family: Bacterial large subunit ribosomal RNA
Source: RNAcentral
UAUUUAACGGCCGCGGUACCCUGACCGUGCAAAGGUAGCAUAAUCACUUGUCUUUUAAUUGAAGACCUGUAUGAAUGGCAUCACGAGAGUUUAUCUGUCUCUAUUUCCUAAUCAAUGAAAUUUAUCUCCCCGUGCAGAAGCGGGGAUAACACUAUAAGACGAGAAGACCCUAUGGAGCUUCAAAUAAACAAAUUAAUAAGUAAUUAAUAAUAAACUAAAGUCCUAAAAACACAUCUUAAUUUAAUUUAACAUUUUCGGUUGGGGCAACCGAGGGGCAUAAAAAAACCCCCUCAUCGACUAAGUACUACAUAUACUUAAAUAAUAGAAAAACUCUUCCAAUUCACAGAACCUCUGACGAACCAUGACCCAAGAACCAUCUUGAUCAUUGAACCAAGUUACCCUAGGGAUAACAGCGCAAUCCUUUCUAAGAGUCCAUAUCGCCGAAAGGGCUUACGACCUCGAUGUUGGAUGUGUAGCCGCUAU